UUUGAAAGAGAGUAAAAUAGUACGUGAAAUUGUUGAAAGGGAAACGAUUGAAGUCAGUCGUACCACGGAAAAUCAACUUUUUGAGUGCGGACUUGUGGGUUUACGUGAGCUUUACGGGCCUCGUGUUUGCAAUGUUCGUUCUUUUUGGGUGUACUUUUUCGUAUGGUUGGCCAAUAUCAGUUCGAUCACUAUAAAAUGACCGGCGGAAUGUAGCUUCGAUCUCGUAUUGAAGUGUUAUAGCUCUGGUAGAUGUGGUGAUUGGGACUGAGGAUUGCAACGAAUACCUUCUGGGCUAUCCGUUGAUCUCUGAAAGUUGCUUAGGUGCCGAAAGCGUGCUUAUGACUAUUCGAGUUGGCGGUAAUAGGAUAGAACGUGAUUAUAUUCGUUAAGGAUGUGUUGACGUAAUGGCUUUAAACGA
Molecule: ribosomal RNA, 418 nt
Filed under: uncultured Glomeromycotina
Lineage: Eukaryota; Fungi; Glomeromycota
Description: eukaryotic LSU rRNA
Source: RNAcentral